Molecule: long non-coding RNA, 2101 nt
Filed under: Elaeis guineensis (African oil palm)
Lineage: Eukaryota; Viridiplantae; Streptophyta; Magnoliopsida; Arecales; Arecaceae
Description: long non-coding RNA (EGUI_LNC044853)
Source: RNAcentral
UUUUGGCUAGAGAUCCCUUUGAGGGGCGCCAAGAGUUGGUGCCCCAACCACCUGACAUGUAUUCCAUGGAUGCCCAUUAUACAUAUUUAAAAGGGCUGAUUAAUUAUCAUUUAUAUCUGAUUUUAUUUAACAUAAAUCAGAUUUAAAAGAUAAAGAAUUCUUAUGAAAUAAGAAUCUACCUUUUUAAGUUGAUAGGAUUCCUAAUAUGUGUCAGGAUUUGUGUCUAUUUAAAGGGAGGCUUCUAGGGUUUCAAGAUUGAUUGAAUUUUUGAUCAACAAAACUCUCCCUCUCUCCAUCUCCACACCUCCUCUCAUCAUUUUCUUCUUUUCCACAUCCCAAAAGUUUGAUGCUCUUUCUUCCACAUGCCUAGAAGAAGUUCUGGUGACUUAGAGAUUGAGGAUCGAGGAGAAGAAGAAGAAGACUGCAGAUUAAGAAGUUGAACUCGUAGUUAAGAUCAAAGGAGUUGAUCAAAGUCUUCAAGGUCAAGGUUCUUCUUGAGAAGAAAAAUCUCAUAUGAAAAGAAAAAAUUCAAGAUCAAUCCCGAUGGAUAUCUGUAGAGGUUGGAUACGUGUGCGGCUCAACCUUCUACGAAUCCAAGAUCAUCAAUAGUGAUAAAUUUCUAUCUGUGCAAAGAUAAUGAGAUCUAUCUCAUUAAUUUUUUUUAAAUUUUAGAUUGAUAAUAUAUGCUUUUUCUAAGCUUGGAUAGGUUUAGAUCUGGUAUUUAGCAUGUGGAGUUAAAGGGUUUAAUCCAUUUUGUUUUUCACUGUCUGUUUUCAAAGUUUUGAAAUCUACACAUACUGUCUAUCCGAUUUUCUAAUAGUCCCAACACCUGUUGGUUGGCCAAAUAAGGAGAGAGAAGUCCAAAAAAAAGUGAGCUCAGGUGGUCUUCUUCAAUUAGAUCUAAUUUGGGUUUAAAUCGAAUCUAAUUCAAGUCCGAUUCCUAAUUCCAAUGCAACACUUGCAAUUAAGUCCCUUAUGCUAACAAUUAGCAGUUUUCAAAUUUGUAACUCUUACAAAUUGAUCCAAAUCAUCAAUCUAAUUGAUAAUUUAAUUAUGAUCCAAGCUAUUGAUCAGGACGAGCUUCUUUUCUAUGUGAUCCUUCAGAUUCUAUUCUAUCUGAUAGUGAGACAUAGCGUGAUCUCCAUCAUAGUAUUAUUGAAAUUUUUUUCAAUGGACUGGAACCAUUCCAACUCAUCCUAACAAGGAUCGUUGAUUCAAAAAUGAUCCUAGUGAGAAUAAAUCUACCAGUGAUGUCUAGCAGUAUGUAGUGAUAACCCAACAAAACAGAAAGAUGAAUCUUUAAGUAUAGUUACUGUGUGAUCAAGUUCUUCUAUCGAAAGUUUCAACAUGAUGUAGACCAUAGAACCUCGUCAAAUCUUAAACAUCCAUCAUAUGCCACACUUAAAUUAGCUUGAAUCCAAUUGUGAAUCUCAUAAAAACUUCUUUCCAUAAUCAUACUCAUUUUCAUAAUCCGUUAUACGCCACAGACUUAUGGACUCAGCCUCUUAGGUUGCAUAAGACUACUCCUCAACUACUAAGACCGAUAGAUCUCUUAUAAGUACACUCCUACUCCUACAGCGAACUUACUGCAGCCAACAUCCAGUAUAAGGAUCCAUAUGUUAGAGACCAUAUUUAUGUAUAGUCAAAUUACAACAACCUCACUAUGAGUAGUCGAGGCACUGUAGAUCAAAGAACCACUCACACAACUACAGCAUCGAGAAGUCACUGAUGAGUGAGUAGGCAUCCAUAUGAUUUCUCAUUUUUAGUUACCUCAGUACCGUUAUUCUCUAACAACCAUCUGCACUCUCACUCCAGUGUUUCUACAUUAUAAACUCAAGACUCGUCUAUCCAAAAGAAAGCUAUCCGUGCACUAGUCAAGUCAGAUCAAUCACCAUCCUCGUGAUGAUCAUCGAUUGGAAGUAAUUUAGAAAUUAAUCUAUAAUGACACAUAUCUUAAAUUCUCAAUUCUUGAGAAUAUGUGUCAUUGAUCAUUAGCUCUUUGGAUGAUUUUAAGAUACAUUACUCUAAAAUAGAAAUAAUUAUUCAUAAUUUUUAAUUUUAAUAAAUCAAGUAUAAAUUUAUGUCUUAAAAAUUAUAAUGU